AGUGAACGCUGGCGGUAGGCCUAACACAUGCAAGUCGAACGGCAGCACAGUAAGAGCUUGCUCUUACGGGUGGCGAGUGGCGGACGGGUGAGGAAUACAUCGGAAUCUACUUUUUCGUGGGGGAUAACGUAGGGAAACUUACGCUAAUACCGCAUACGACCUACGGGUGAAAGCAGGGGAUCUUCGGACCUUGCGCGAUUGAAUGAGCCGAUGUCGGAUUAGCUAGUUGGCGGGGUAAAGGCACACCAAGGCGACGAUCCGUAGCUGGUCUGAGAGGAUGAUCAGCCACACUGGAACUGAGACACGGGCCAGACUCCUACGGGAGGCAGCAGUGGGGAAAAUUGGAGAAUGGGGGCAAGCCUGAUCCAGCCAUACCGCGUGGGUGAAGAAGGACUUCGGGUUGUAAAGACCGUUUUUUGGGAAAGAAAAGCAGCAGGGUAAUACCCCGCUGUUCUGACGGUACCCAAAGAAUAAGCACCGGCUAACUUCGUG
Molecule: ribosomal RNA, 492 nt
Filed under: uncultured bacterium
Lineage: Bacteria
Description: partial 16S ribosomal RNA
Rfam family: Bacterial small subunit ribosomal RNA
Source: RNAcentral